CGGAGAUGGCACGUGUCACAUUGCCGGUAGCGGUGGCAGCACUGUUCUGCUUAAAUGUUUUGGUUGUGAGUGUAGUUGGGAGGCAUUUGGUGAUCAGAGAUGACGAUGAAGAGAAAUUCUUAUGGGGUGGUAAGGGCGGAGGUUUUGGCAUUGGCGGUGGGUUCGGUAAAGGCAGUGGCGGCGGUGGAUUUGGUGGUGGCGGCGGCGGCGGAUUUGGUGGUGGUG
This 225-nucleotide unclassified non-coding RNA is filed under the name Hevea brasiliensis (rubber tree). Lineage: Eukaryota; Viridiplantae; Streptophyta; Magnoliopsida; Malpighiales; Euphorbiaceae. The record is from RNAcentral.